Long non-coding RNA from Falco peregrinus (peregrine falcon), 816 nucleotides. RefSeq lists it as uncharacterized. The transcript is spliced from 4 exons. The record is from RefSeq and is a predicted model, not a curated record. NCBI's taxonomy places the organism in Eukaryota, Metazoa, Chordata, Aves, Falconiformes, Falconidae.
ACCGGUUACAAGCCAGGAGACAUAAAAGCUGGUCAGUUGCUCUCCCUUUUCUAAGCUUGAUGCUUCUUUUCUAUUGCUUUUAUAAAAACUGUGGGAGCUCAGAUGACCGCCAGCAUCUCAUGUAACACUGCACCAUUGCUUAUAUAGACCGGUGAAUGGUAUUGUGCAAAACUGCAAGACUAACAACAGCAACGGUUGAAAAGAAACAUUGUACCAGUAUCUGCUUCUGAGAGGAUACAUAGACACGUGUCAUAAAAUAUAAGAAUUUGAUCUUCUGUUAUUAAUUUUAAGGUGUACAAUUUCAGAGCCCACAUACAGACAACAUACUAUACACUGUAACUGAAUCAGCAGAGAACUGCAACGCUUUGAGCAAGAAAUAAUAGCCAGGAGUCAGAGGGCAAAAAUGGGAUCUAAAUUAAGUCGGCUUUGUCGCUGAAACCUGUGUGUUUGUAUGACUCACCAAAAACUCUCUACCAAGCAGGUAGGAGUUAUAACCAUCUGUUACUUCAUGGGUCAGUGUGAAUGGUAUUCAGUAUUAAGCAAUAUUUCUAAAAAUGAUGGAACUACUCAUAAAGCAACUUCAGUAUGAUCAAGGAAAAGAAAAAUGGCACAGCUGGAAAUGUAAUUAUUGUUCACCUGCUGUAAAAAACCCAUGAAAAAUACCACUACAACCAACCUUUUCAUUGCUUUUAUAAAAAAUUCAACAGUAGAAAUGAGCUUUUCAUACACACAAAAUUAAUGUCAAAGUAAAAUAAAAUAUUUUUAACAAAAAUAACCCCUGCAAAAUCCCUAUUUAAACUAAUUUCUGCUUCUUUG